Phycodurus eques (leafy seadragon) is the source of this 1565-nucleotide long non-coding RNA. RefSeq lists it as uncharacterized. The record is from RefSeq and is a predicted model, not a curated record. The transcript has 3 exons. NCBI's taxonomy places the organism in Eukaryota, Metazoa, Chordata, Actinopteri, Syngnathiformes, Syngnathidae.
UUGUUUUCCCACGCGGUGGCGGUCGAAUACUGAGGACACCGGCUGGGCGGCAGACUUUCUGUCUGGAGUGGCCGCGGCCACCGCCGGCCACCGCGUAGCUCCGCCCCUGCCCACCACCUUGUCUCAGGCCCUAAAGCCAUCUGAAGAAAAGCGGCGCCUAAGCGUGAAGCUGCCGCCGCCACGCUUCAGUGCAGGCGUGACAACUGCUCCAUGCGCACAGUGACGACCGUGAAGAGUUCCCGGUGAGAGCUACUGUGAUGAGAUCUACUACCUCAGUCUUGUGCCAGUGACUUUGUGAAAGAAUGGCAGCUAUGCAGGUCUGCUGUCUCCCCGCCUGCCAUACAACGAAGUGUCUGCAAAGCUUCAUAGGAGCUCAUGCGAUCAACAUGGACUAUUUUCAUAUUACUGAAGAUUUUUUUUUCUGGGAAAGGAUCCACUUCAGCAACUUUUCGAAGGAAAAUAACUGGAAUAUGACUUCAUGGCCAAGUCAAUGACCUGAUCUUAACCCAAUCGAGCAUGAAGCAUGAUUUUCACUUACAGAAGACCAAAGGGAAGGCAGCAACCCUCACAAAGUAGCAACAGCAAGUGAAGAAAAAACUCUGAACUUCGAAUCCUUUGUCUGCAAAGGAUUUUCAUCCGAGUCAUGAAAAUGAUUGUUACAAUUAAGAAAAAUCCAAAUUUAAGAAGGGGGGCCGGGCCGCAGGCAGGGUGUGUUCCAACUACGGGGGGAUAUUUCCCUUUGUCCAAAUACUAUUGAGCCCCGUUAAACGAAGGCUGUAAAUGGUUGUAAUUCUCAAAUGUAAAUGUAUUUUGGUAUUCCGUUGCAUAUUCCAUACUUCCGAACUUAACUGUACAUUGGGGAUUGCCGUAUUCUUUGCAUAGGUAGGACAAAUGCGUUUAUAUUGACUGGCCUCAUGUUGGCUUUUCACAAACUCAGACUGAGAGGAUUAUCAUCAGCAUGUCUGGUCCGCUGAGGUCAUGACAGACACAGUACACACUUAUCCACAUCCAAUACUAUCUUUGAUCGUCGUGUCUGUGUAGACGUUUGAUCCGUGUGUCAGCGUCAGCAGCAACGCGAUCGCAACUAAGAGGCGAUGAGCUCUUCGUCGCGCUCGUUGACUUGUGGAGAGCAACGCGAGGUCAUCUGCAUAAGCGAGCCUCCAUCUCUGGAACCCGAUUUGGCUCACAUCACUUCCGACCCCACAAACGAGCCCACACAAGCCUUCUUGUUCGCAUACUCUGUGUUCACAGACACGCGGUAUAGAAGUGCUGCCAAAUGCACCUUCGAGCCAAGAGCACAACAGUGGCUGCAACUGCAGCUGGUAGAGAUGGAGAGAGUGCCCUGUGUCCACUUGUGUUGGACGGCGACGGGAAGAUGGCUUUUAUUAUCUAUUCUGUAAUACACAAAUAAAGUUAGGCGCUAAUGUUCUUGACAUACAGUCAUUUUAUAAAUAUGGAAAUUCAGACAAAUUCUUCUGGAAGUGAAUUUCUAUAGGUUGGCAGCUCUGCAGUCAUAGCAAUAAAUACAAUUUUACUAGAAAUUGGCAUAGUUUUAGAAUUAAUCA